This 442-nucleotide ribosomal RNA is filed under the name uncultured bacterium. RNAcentral describes it as "partial 16S ribosomal RNA". It matches the Rfam family "Bacterial small subunit ribosomal RNA", at positions 338 to 795 of the family's 1533-position model. The record is from RNAcentral.
CCUACGGGAGGCAGCAGUGAGGAAUAUUGGGCAAUGGGCGCACGCCUGACCCAGCAACGCCGCGUGAAGGAAGACGGCUCUCGGGUUGUUAACUUCUUUUGACCGGGGAGCGUAGAAGACGGUACCUGUCGAAUAAGCCACGGCUAACUACGUGCCAGCAGCCGCGGUACUACGGAGGUGGCGAGCGUUGUCCGGAUUUACUGGGGGUAAAGGGCGUGUAGCCGGGUUGACAAGUCAGAUGUGAAAUCCUGCGGCUUAACCGCAGAACUGCGGUUGAAACUGGUGAUCUUGAGUACUGGAGAGGCAGACGGAAUGCCUAGUGUAGCGGUGAAAUGCGUAGAUAUUAGGAGGAACACCAGUGGCGAAGGCGGUCUGCUGGACAGCAACUGACGGUGAGGCGCGAAAGCGUGGGGAGCAAACAGGAUUAGAUACCCCAGUAGUC